This 406-nucleotide ribosomal RNA is filed under the name uncultured bacterium. Its description in RNAcentral is "partial 16S ribosomal RNA". It matches the Rfam family "Bacterial small subunit ribosomal RNA", at positions 30 to 526 of the family's 1533-position model. The record is from RNAcentral.
AUUGAACGCUGGCGGCAGGCCUAACACAUGCAAGUCGAACGAGUGGCGGACGGGUGAGUAAUGUCUGGGAAACUGCCUGAUGGAGGGGGAUAACUACUGGAAACGGUAGCUAAUACCGCAUACCAUCGGAUGUGCCCAGAUGGGAGUAGCUAGUAGGGGGGGUAAAGGCUCACCUAGGCGACGAUCCCUAGCUGGUCUGAGUGGAUGACCUGCAACCCUGGAACUGAGCCACCGUCCAGACUCCUCCGGGAGGCAGCAGUGGGGAGUAUUGCACAAUGGUCUCAAGCCUGAUGCAUCCAUGACGCGUGUAUGAAGAAGGCAUUGGGGUUGUAAAGUACUUUCAGCGGGGGGGCGUUACCCGCAGAAGAAGCCCCGGCUAACUCCGUGCCAGCCGCCGCGGUAAUAC